This 62-nucleotide transfer RNA is filed under the name Amarygmini sp. ACP-2013. RNAcentral's name for it is "tRNA-Cys". The record is from RNAcentral. Lineage: Eukaryota; Metazoa; Arthropoda; Insecta; Coleoptera; Tenebrionidae.
UGGUUUGGUAGUCAAUUAUGAUUUUAAAUUGCAAAUUUAAAGGUAAAUUAUGUUUUCAAGCC